GGGAAGGUGGCUCAGUGGUAGAGUGCUUGCUUUGCAUGCAUGAGGCCCUGGGUUCAAUUCCUCAGCAUCUCA
RNAcentral lists this transfer RNA (72 nucleotides) under Dipodomys ordii (Ord's kangaroo rat). It matches the Rfam family "tRNA". From Rfam's summary of the family: Transfer RNA (tRNA) molecules are approximately 80 nucleotides in length. Their secondary structure includes four short double-helical elements and three loops (D, anti-codon, and T loops). Further hydrogen bonds mediate the characteristic L-shaped molecular structure. tRNAs have two regions of fundamental functional importance: the anti-codon, which is responsible for specific mRNA codon recognition, and the 3' end, to which the tRNAs corresponding amino acid is attached (by aminoacyl-tRNA synthetases). tRNAs cope with the degeneracy of the genetic code in two manners: having more than one tRNA (with a specific anti-codon) for a particular amino acid; and 'wobble' base-pairing, i.e. permitting non-standard base-pairing at the 3rd anti-codon position. The record is from Rfam by way of RNAcentral. Lineage: Eukaryota; Metazoa; Chordata; Mammalia; Rodentia; Heteromyidae.